Molecule: transfer RNA, 91 nt
Rfam family: tRNA
About the family: Transfer RNA (tRNA) molecules are approximately 80 nucleotides in length. Their secondary structure includes four short double-helical elements and three loops (D, anti-codon, and T loops).
GCGACGUUGGUGAAAUGGUAUCAUCUAUGCUUCCCAACCUUUCGAGGAACGGAAAUCGCAUAGGGUUCGGGUUCGAUUCCCGAACGUCGCA